GCCGCGUGAGUGAAGAAGGCCUUCGGGUUGUAAAGCUCUUUUGUCAGGGAAGAAACGGGUGAGGCUAAUAUCCUUGCCUAAUGACGGUACCUGAAGAAUAAGCACCGGCUAACUACGUGCCAGCAGCCGCGGUAAUACGUACGGUGCAAGCGUUAAUCGGAAUUACUGGGCGUAAAGCGUGCGCAGGCGGUUGUGCAAGACAGAUGUGAAAUCCCCGGGCUCAACCUGGGAAUUGCAUUUGUGACUGCACAGCUAGAGUGUGUCAGACGGGGGUAGAAUUCCACGUGUAGCAGUGAAAUGCGUAGAUAUGUGGAGGAAUACCGAUGGCGAAGGCAGCCCCCUGGGAUAACACUGACGCUCAUGCACGAAGCGUGGGGAGCAAACAGGAUUAGAUACCCUGGUAGUCCACGCCCUAAACGAUGUCUACUAUUUGUCGGGUCUUAAUUGACUUGGUAACGCAGCUAACGCGUGAAGUAGACCGCCUGGGGAGUACGGUCGCAAGAUUAAAACUCAAAGGAAUUGACGGGGACCCGCACAAGCGGUGGAUGAUGUGGAUUAAUUCGAUGCAACGCGAAAAACCUUAUCUACCCUUGACAUGUACGGAAUCCUGAAAAGAUUU
Molecule: ribosomal RNA, 619 nt
Filed under: Oxalobacteraceae bacterium Ri1Ps_4680
Lineage: Bacteria; Pseudomonadati; Pseudomonadota; Betaproteobacteria; Burkholderiales; Oxalobacteraceae
Description: bacterial SSU rRNA
Rfam family: Bacterial small subunit ribosomal RNA
Source: RNAcentral